This is a non-coding RNA of Mycena leptocephala, 94 nucleotides long. The record is from the annotation of a GenBank genome assembly. Lineage: Eukaryota; Fungi; Basidiomycota; Agaricomycetes; Agaricales; Mycenaceae.
GCGGACGUGGUGCAUGGUGCACCUCUCCUUUCAUUGACUGAGAAAGAGAACAAGAAUUGAAGGAGGUGUUGGGGUUCGACUCCCCGUGUCUGCA